RNAcentral lists this unclassified non-coding RNA (164 nucleotides) under uncultured Cortinarius. RNAcentral's name for it is "sequence contains ITS1". The record is from RNAcentral. Lineage: Eukaryota; Fungi; Basidiomycota; Agaricomycetes; Agaricales; Cortinariaceae.
UUGAAAUAAACCUGAUGGGUUGUUGCUGGCUCUCCAGGGAGCAUGUGCACACCUUGUCAUCUUUAUAUCUCCACCUGUGCACUUUUUGUAGACCUUUUUAGGUCUAUGUUGCUUCAUUUACCCCCAAUGUAUGUUAAUAGAAUGUUGUGUUUAUAAAAUCUAUA